Alosa alosa (allis shad) is the source of this 921-nucleotide long non-coding RNA. RefSeq lists it as uncharacterized. The transcript is spliced from 3 exons. NCBI's taxonomy places the organism in Eukaryota, Metazoa, Chordata, Actinopteri, Clupeiformes, Clupeidae. The record is from RefSeq and is a predicted model, not a curated record.
AACCCGUGUCCACAUGACAAAAUCACAGUAGUCUGACUGUUACCGUAGAAAUCACAGUAGUCAAAGCAUUACUGUAAAAAAAAUUACAAGAUAGCCACUGUAGUACUGUAAAUACUAAAGUAAACUACUGUAUUUUCCUACUUUAUCUUAUCUUACACUCUUAAAAACAUAUUGGUUAAAAAUAACUUUAGCCCCAAACAUAGCAACAUGUAGGCUUACCCUUUCUGGAACAUUUAUGUAGGCCUACCUUUUAUAAAUAAUUCACAAAAAGGCCUAAACAGUAAUGUGUCACUCAAAUGUUGUUGGGGGAGGGGAUUUUGGAGCAACCGUUACUUUUUUCUUCAAGUCAACUUCAGUCCUCACUCACUCACCAAGUGAUGCAGCAACUUUCAACAGGGGAGCUUCUGGAGUAUGAGAGAAAACACGUUUGUAGGAUGGAAAAAUCUUUGUGGAAGAGGAGGCACAGCUAUUCAGAGGGGUCCCUCCAAUGCAGAAUAUGGGGAGAAUAAGUGCUAACAAUGAAGUACCUGUCCAGAAGGAUCUAACAGCUAUGACAACUGGGAUUCUGGGUCUCCAAGGUCAGAGGACCAUAGACCUUUAUAUCAAGUGUCAGGGGAAUGAUAUUUGUAAGAAGUUUCUUUUCAUUUAUGUUUUAAGUGUUCAUGCAUAUGUUCAUUAUUGUUCAAUGUUUUAUUUUAUUUCAAUAUUGCCAUUGUGUUAAUCAUUGCUCUUUAAAACGUGCAAAUAAGGUUGGUUUUUUUUUUUUGACCGUAUUUUAUCAAUUCACAUUAUUGUUCCAUCAUGUUAACUUUGGAUAGUCUAAUGGCGUGUCGUCCAUUAUCCCUAACUUAUGUUGUACCUGUUUUGUCAUGUUCCUGUUCACCAAAUGUCUUAAAUAAAUAACUGUUAACAAUUUCUUGU